GGGAGGAAAGUAGGGGAUCGUAAGACCUUGCGCUUUUGGAGCGGCCGAUGUCUGAUUAGCUAGUUGGUGAGGUAAAGGCUUACCAAGGCUUCGAUCAGUAGCUGGUCUGAGAGGACGACCAGCCACACUGGGACUGAGACACGGCCCAGACUCCUACGGGAGGCAGCAGUGGGGAAUUUUGGACAAUGGGGGAAACCCUGAUCCAGCCAUGCCGCGUGAGUGAAGAAGGCCUUCGGGUUGUAAAGCUCUUUCAGCCGGAACGAAAAGGUUACGGUUAAUACCCGUGACUAAUGACGGUACCGGAAGAAGAAGCACCGGCUAACUACGUGCCAGCAGCCGCGGUAAUACGUAGGGUGCGAGCGUUAAUCGGAAUUACUGGGCGUAAAGCGUGCGCAGGCGGUUUUGUAAGUCAGAUGUGAAAUCCCCGGGCUCAACCUGGGAACUGCGUUUGAAACUACAAAGCUAG
This 466-nucleotide ribosomal RNA is filed under the name uncultured bacterium. RNAcentral describes it as "bacterial SSU rRNA". It matches the Rfam family "Bacterial small subunit ribosomal RNA", at positions 197 to 644 of the family's 1533-position model. The record is from RNAcentral.